CUUUCAAAGUUGAACUCAGCCAGUCUCUUAAAUUGCUAAGGUCAGGUGCAGCACUCCCCAAAGAAGUAGAGUUCCAGGCGUUGGUGUAUUUUUCCUAUUGCUUCACACCUGGAACCAGAGGCAUCCAUUACAGCUCCAGGAAGACAUGCAGGUACCAAAUGAAAAACCUGGAAUUUGUGUUCUGAGAACUAUGACACAAGAGAAAACUGGUGGACUGUUACCAGUAACCUCAAAAUUAAAAUAAAAAUAGCCAGCCUCUAUGUUUUGUGGAACGAAAUUUGCAGGUAAUUUUCCAAUUAUUAAAGACAAGAAGGGGGAUUGCUAAGGAUUAAAGUCCUCACACAGCUCCGAUAGAUACAUUUUAAAAGAAACUCUACAAGGGGCGCCUGGGUGGCUCAGUCGGUUACACGUUGGACUUAGGCUCAGGUCCCGACCUUGCAGUUUGGGAGUUCGGGCUCUGUGCCGACAGCCCAGAGCCUGGAGCUUACUUCAGAUUCUACCUCCCUUUCUACCUGCCCCUCCCCUGCUCAAGCUCUGUCUCUCUCUCAGAAAUAAACAUUAAUUUUUUUUUCAAAAACAAAAUAAUAGAUAUUCUACGGAAGGCAAAAAAGACUUUUUCUCAAACAUAUACUCUAGAAAGCUUGAGUAUUUAUAUAUAGCUACCGGCCUGCACUAUGUUAUUAUUCUUGUGGGUUUCCCUCUUUUUAAUGAUGCAUGUGCACUUAGUAUAUUAGCAGGCUUCCCCUUGUUUUUAAAGGGAGAACCCAACAUCCAAAAAUAGAUUGAUUUUAUGCUUAAAUACUGAAGUAAUAGUUCUGGGAAUAAGAGCCUUCAGAGUCUCUUAAGUUUCUUUAUAUCCCUUAUUUUAUUUGCUAAGAAUAUUAUGGAAACUCUGCCAAUACCCUUUGGUAAGAAGCUAAUUAACAAUGAAUGAGUAUAGUCAAUUGAGAUAUUGUUAUGUAAGCAAAUAGAACAAUGCCAGGCUACAUCGUUUAUUAUAAAACAUGCCUCAAUUAAAAUUUCAUGUGAUAUAGUGCACGCAGAUUUUCUAGGAUAAACAGCAAUGUUUUAGAGACUAAAACCCUUUUAUAGUGCUCUACUAAACCCUGAGACAGCAAAUCAAUAGGAUAUUCAAGUCAAGCAAGACAGUUUCAGAGAAGGACAAACUAUUAACCUUAAAUGUGAAUGCAUUUGCAUUUAUAAAUUUAGCUUAAAUCAAUUUGUGUCUAAUCUCCUUGUAAUUAUAUCCUGUUAUUUAGAAAUGAUAAGUAUAUUUUUAAAACUUUUUAAUUGACAUUGUAAUGAUCCAAAUGUAACUCAGAGUGGCCUUUAUUAUAUUCUUAGGGAGAUAAUAUCAAAUCUGCACAUGAUGACUGCAACUUGUUCCAACUACCCGGUAAGUAUCAGUGAUGAAAAUUGCUUAUAAAAUUUUGAGCUCCCUGGAUUCAGCUUUUCAUGCUUGGUUGUCUAAAGACAUUCCCUUCGGUCUUUUAUUCCUUGAGAUAAAAUUCACAUACCAUAACAUUUAUAUCCUUUUAGUGUUUUAGUAUAUCCACGAUGUUGUGCCAUCAUCACUACUGUUUAAUUGCGGAAUGUUUUCAACAUCUCCAAAGAAAGCCCAUACCAGUCGGUGGUCAUUCUCGAUUACCCCUCACCCCAAUCCCUGGUAACCAGAGCUGAUACUCUAUCUCCAUGGAUUUACCAAUUCUGGACAUGGUAUAUACAUGGAAUCAUAGAAUAUGUGGCCUUUUGCCUUUGACUUUUUCAACUUAGCAUAAUGUAUUCAAGGUCAUCCAUGUCGUGGCACCAAUCAUUAGUUUAUUUCUUUAUAUGGCUGAAUAAUGUUCCAUUAUAUGGACAUAUCACAUUUUGUUUAACCAUUCAUCAGUUGAUGAACAUUUGGGUUGUUUGCAUUUUUUUGCUAUUAUGAAUAACUCCACAAUGAAUACUUGUGUACAAGUUGUGGUCAUAUGUCUUCAGUUCUCUUGGAUAUAUAUCUAGAAGUGGAAUUGCUGGGCUCUGUGGUCACUCAAUGCAGAAUUAAGUUUUGUGGGAUCCCUGAAGAAUUUCACUGCAUCUUUUUAGGUUCUCACCAGCGAGGUAUGAGGGUUCCAACUUCUCUACAUCGUCACCAACACUGGUUGUUGUCUGUGUUUUUGUUUAUAUCAAUCCUUUCCUUCAUGCCUUUUUUUUAAAGUUUAUUUAUUUAUUCUGAGAGAGACAGAGACAGCGUGAGCAGGGGAGGGGCAGAGAGAGAGGGAGAGAGAGAGAAUUCCAAGCGGGCUCUGCACUGGCAUCGCAGAGCCCCAUGCGGGGCUUGAACUCACAAAACCACAACAUCAUGACCUGAGCUGAAACCAAGAGUUGGAUGCUUAUCCAGCUGAGCCACCCAGGCACCCCUUUUUCUUCAUUCUUAAAUAAAAAAUCCAAUUAAUCCUUAGAAUACCUUUUUAUAUUGACACUGACUAUCCUAAAUAACUCAGCGAUUAAAGCUUUUCUUUCAACUACUGUUUUCAUCAUUUUGAGCAGAAAUAUUUUUGAUAUCUGUGAAAUGGAGAAAAUGCUACACACUUGAAAUGAAUUUGUGGAAAUUUCAUGAGUAUAUUGGUUUCCUAAUGAUGCUGUAACAAAACAAAUUUGGUGAUUUAAACAAGACAAAUUUAUUAUCUUAUCGUUCUAAAGGUGACUAUUCUGACAUGAAACUCACUGGGCUGAAAUCAAGAUGUUGGCAGGGCGGCAUUCCUCUCUGUAGGUCUAUUUCCUUGCUUUUUCAAGUUUCUAAAGACCACCCCCAUUCCUUGACUCAUGGAUUUCUCUCUCUUACCUUCAAAGCCAAGAAGGGCAAGUAGAGUCCUCCACCUGUUUCCAUCUCUUCACUUAGAAAAGAUUCCUCACUUGUAAGGAUGCAGGAUUAGAAUGGACCCACACAGACAACCCAGGAUAAUCUUUCCUUCUCCAGGCCCUUAAACUUUAAAAAAAUUUUUUUAUGUUUAUUUAUUUUUGGGAGAGAAAGAGACAGAGCACAAGCAGGGGAGGGGCAGAAAGAGAAGGGAGACACAGAAUCCGAAGCAGGUUUCAGGCUCUGAGCUGUCAGCACAGAGCCCGACGUGGGGAUUGAACUCACAAACCGUGAGAUCAUGACCUGAGCCCAAGUCAGUCACUUAACUGACUGAGCCACCCACGGGCCCCUCCAGGCCUUAAUUGAACCAUAUCUGCAAAAUACCUUUUACCACGUAAGGUAACGUGUUCAAAGAUUCUAUGAAUUAUGGCAUAGACAUCUUUGUGGGACCAUUGUUUUCCCAUCACAAUGAGACAACGUACGUCUCGUGACAGGUACAGGACUGGCACACAAUGCUGGAUAACCAUCUUUUUUUAAUUGUUUAUAAUAGGUACUAUAUGGUAAAAUGGCAAUGUAGUACAUUUCUACUGUGUCAAGAAGAUGGAUGGCCAAAUCUGAGACAGCUGUACGUAAAGACUUAAAGUUCAUACACUACUGUUACUCCCACAGAAUAAUUCUUGUCAUGGGAUAUUUGGCAGAUGAGUAUCGUGGCAUUAACCCCCGGCCACAACUGCCUCAUCUUUCCUCUGGCCUGGCAGCCAAGACAUCUCAGGGCCAUUUGGAGAUAUUUUGUUUUUGUGAUGUGAUCAUCACAGUCCUUUACCUAAAACUGAGAGGACACUGAAGAGACCUUGAGAGAGGAAAAGAAUAUUGCCAGAAUUCUAAAAAGUGGACCGUUGGUUCUGUCACCUGUGAUGAGUGACGUUUUUCCUUCAUUUAUUCACAUCAGUAUCACUAAUUUCUGGGUCUUCUAAUGCUUGAUAUGUACCCAUAGCUUACUUUUAAAAUGGGGAGAGUGGUCACAAUAGUGUUUAGCGAGCAAAGACAUUAUUAGCUGGAUAGUUGCUAAAAUUCCCUAUGAUGAAGAAAGUCAUUUCCAAUAUCUCUCUUGUGUCUUUGCUACACACACACACACACACACACACCGAUAAUUUCUUCCAAAUACCUGGUUCUAUGGCAAGAGUUCCACUCCCUGACAACUUUGGGGUUUGAAAGAAGAUUGGGUAGCAUUAACAUAGUAAAUGUUCACAUUUCAUAGUAACAUUAAUACAGUAAUUGUCAAUUAUCUUAAAAACAACAACCACUACCACCAUCACAACCACCACAGGAAAUAGACCUCUGUUAAUAAAAUGAAAUAAAUUUCUAGCUCCACAGGGAAACAAAAUGUUGUGUCAUUGGUGGAGACCAGAACCAAAACAAAUCACUUUAUUCAUAAUAACUGGAAAUGUCAUUUUCUCCCUUAGGAUUAGCUUUUCUCUUCUGUAACCAUAAUCACUUUUUGCCUAAAGGAAUUAAUUCUGAAAUUAAGACUAGCUAUUUUGUAUUACUUCUUGUUUCUUUGAUCAAAAAAAGGCAGUUACAGACUUAUUGAGUUAAAAAUAAUUCUUGAUUUUUUUAAAGCAAUUGUUGCCCUGGAUAAGUUAGGAGUUUCAGUCCAAUGCCACCAAAUUUUUAAAUUAAAAAAAUUUUUAAGAUUAUUUAUUUAUUUUGAGAGAAGGGAGAGAGAGAGAGAGAGAGAGAGAUGACAAGUAGGAGGGACAGAGAGGAGAGACAGAAUCCCAAGCGAAUCCCAACUCGAGGCUCGAACUCCUGAAUAUGAGAUCAUGAUCAAGAGUCAGACGUUUAACAGACCACACCACCCAGGUGCCCAAUGCCAUCAAAUUUUUAGUAAAAUCAUUGCAUUGUCAGAUGGCUACAAAAGAAAUAACGUUUUCUGUAAUUUGUGGACAUUCCCUAAAUGUCUCUAAAAGCUUUGCCAAUAUUUGCCAGUUUGAAAAUAUGUUCUAGUAGAAAUUCAGCUAGUGGUAUUUUAAGCAAAUUCCAAUUAGAAACCAUUUAGAUGUCAGUGAUCAAAACAUAGGAGGGAGAGUUGGUAUCUAACGAUGAUAACGCACAUUUAUAGAAUACCUUUCCCUGAGAAGAUCAGAACAGGUAAGCACAAGUACUUGUAUCUGUUUAACACUGAUGCUUGGAGUUGGGCACAUACGCUGACUUUUCCAGGUGGGGCUAAGGAGGAGAGCUGUGUAUUUACCUCGCACAUCUGACAGCACAGGAACAGGCUUGUUUUAUUUAGUGGGGAAAGAGCGGAUAGCCAGGGGUGAAUUGACACAGAGGAACAGAUAGCCUCGGUUCAAGCACUGUUUGCCUCUGACAUCAGUGUUACUGUUGACAUCUUCUGUCCUUUGUUGUCAAUCCCUAAACUAAAUUACGGAUUUUGUUCCCGCAUAAAAAGAAAGCUGUAAUUCAUUGCUUCAUGUACGUUAGCAAAAAUGCUUCUGCCAAAGGCUGUUUCUGAAAUACUGCAAUAAAAAGACCUAAAUCAAUAGAGGAGAAAAAUGAAAAUGAUAAAUAAUAAUAAAUGAGAGAAAAAUUUUAAGAUGUCUGACAAUGCCAUAUUCUAUUUAAGGGUCAAGCUAAAAGUAUGUUGACGCAGACCUUAGAAGGGUCUGAAUGCGCUCCGGUGCCCACGACUUUUUCAGCUGGUGAUUUGCAACAUACUUUUAAUAAAGAAUGUGGGUAAAAUAAGAGAAAAGAAAGCAAGUAAAAAACACCUACACUCCUAGUACCUGCACAAACUACCGUUCAUCUUUUGGUGUAUUUAUUUUCUUUUUCUGCAAAUUAUUAUACUUUUGUUUGUAAAUUUUUAUUUUGAGAUGAUUUCAAAUUCAUGGAAUAUUUUCAAGAUGCGUACUAUAAAUUCCCUGAUACUUUUAACCCAGAUGUAACAACUGUUCAGUUUUGCCUCCUUAGCUGUAUCAGGUUCUUUCUCUUCACCUGUGUGCACGUGCACACACACACACAUACGCACACACACAUCUACCUGUGUCUGCGUAAAUAUUUGUAACCAGAUACAUAUGAAAAAAAUUUUCCUGAAUCAUUUGGGGGUAUUAUAUCUUUACUCCUAAAUACCUCUAAAAAUCAAGAACUUGAACAUUGUUGUAAUACGUUAUCUAAUCCACGUAUUUAACUUUUUCUAGUUGUCCCUGUAAGGUAUCUUAUAAUUUUGUCCCCUUAGUACAGCAUCUAAUCUAGAUCACAUGUUAUGUUUACUUAUUAUGUCUGGUUGGCUCUAUUAAUCUGAAGAAGAUUCUCAGCCUUUCUGUUUUAUUGACCUUGACAUUUUUAAGAGACAAGAUAAUACUAAUACUAAUAAUACUACAAAUAAUAAACUCAUAGAAUGUGCUGCACCUUAAGUGUUUCUGGUGUUUCCUCAUGAUGCAAUAUGAGUUCUAUAUAUUUUUUGAAGAAUACCAUAGAUAUGGUGAUGUGCUCUUUUCACUUAAUGAGGCACAUAUUGACUACUUGCUCCAACAUGAGUAACAUGAACUUUGGUCAUGGGGUUAGGCAGUGCCUGCCAAGAAUCUCCACUGUAAUUUAAUUAUGUUUCUAUUUAUAAUGAAGCUGUAAUUUGUGGAUGGGCACUUUGAGACUAUGUAAAUACCCUAUUCCUCAUCAAACUUUAGCCAUUAAAUUUAGCAAACACUAUUGAUUUCUAACUCUAUCAUUUCUUCCAUAUUUUAUUAGCUGGCAUUGAUAGAGAUUUCUUAUCUCCUCUAUUAUUGAUUCAUGUAUGUAUGUGUGUAUGUAUGUGUGUGUGUAUGUAUAUUCACAUAGAUUCAUGGAUUCCUAUUUUAUUCAGUUACAAUUCAUUGUUAUUGUAUUAUUAUUAUUAUUAUGCUCAAGUGGCCCUAAUUUUGGCCGGUGGGAACCUUUAUAAUCUUUUUGACUCAGCUCCAAGAUUUAUUGAGCAUUCUUUUAAUUUAUGGUGAAAAUGUUCCAGACUCAUGUUGGAUUUUCUCUGCCCCAGGCUUGGCAUUAGUAUUUACUUCAAUGAGUCCUGAUUUCUUUACAGUAGAGAAUGGCAUUUAGAAACUAAAGUCUAGGGAAUAAUGUACUCAUUGCUACUGGGGUGUCAUUUCCUCUAGGUCCGCCCAGUAGACAGGGCUAGAAAAUAUACACAUGGACACACACACAUACACACACACCUCUCUAUAUAAACAGAUAUACCUAUGUAUGCCUCUAUUUAUCUGUUUAGUAGUAGACAGUAAUAGUUAUAUGAAUUGAUACUAAUUCCAAUACCACACCACAGGAGCGUGUUAGUCUUUCCCCUUUCCAUACUUGUAACUCCCUUUUCCAAAAGUGAAAAACAACUGGCUCUCAUUAUCCUUUAUAUAUAUUACAUUAAAUAUUGUAUAUAUACUACGCAUUCACAUAUACAUUAUAAAUAUAAUGGUGGCCGGGCACAUGGGUCAUGUUCCCAUCAUCUCAGAGGGGCACUGGAUAGUUGUAGGUUAUGGCCGGGUUGGUGAUGGUGGCUACUUGGCGAAGGGGCUCGGUGGGGGCAGAAUUCUAGCAUGGCCUCUGAUGGUGCAGGACACAUCCAGCACUGGCUCCCUGGUCCAGGUAUUCUUGUGGAAAUCAUGAGUCCCCACCGGUCAUCUUGAUCUGAUGGCAGUGGCAGCCAUCAUCAUCACCACUAAUCCAGAGUUUAUCAACCUCUCUCAAAAAAAAAGCCCAUACUCAUUAGUAGUCACUCCCCAUUAUCCCUCGUCUAGCCCCCGGAAAAAUGAAUCUUCAGGUAAAUAAUAGGUAAAGAAUAUACCAGCCGCACUUCCAAUUACUGCAGAAACAAUGGAAAGAAAGAAAGAAUGGUAUUCAUGUCCUGGAAAAUUCAGAGGCUUCUUGAAGUGCGCAUGAUAGGGGAAAGGGAUCCAGCUGGAUUCAAGUUUCUGCAGCAUCCCAAGCAGCUCCUGUCAAGGAAUCUAAUGAGAGUGAGUUUUCCAAUUGAAAAAAAAAAUAUAAAGACCAGAUGCGAACCUUCCUUCAGGGCAAGUUUCAGAGCUGAAGUAAUUUCAUAGUAGAGGUAGUCACUAUGAAACAGGAAUGAGAAAUCUACUCAUGAGAGAUAAGAGCAGCUGUGAUGGAGCAAAUCUCUGAGUAUUUAAGAAGAUGCAAUGUCUCAACUACUAUUCCUGAGCUGGGGGAUGGGAUGCCUCUAGGGAUUCACAUACGAUGAAUGCCAAGUGCCCAGACGCCCCGAUGGAUUUGGAUUUCCCCACAUGAGGGGAAUGGCUACCCUGCUGCCUGGCCCUUUUCUUAGUGGUUAAGUCUGAAGGAAAAUGGAACAAAAGGAUUGUAAAUAAAUGUUCGGUGGGCACACUGCUUCCCCAAGACUGAUGUUUUCCUCCAGGGGGAGGAAGUUCUGCUAGGAUGAAACUCCUGUGCUUCCUCCGUCCCCAAAUUUAAGCAUCCCAGGGUUGGAGGAAGGCAUCGGUUGGUGAAUUUUGGACCAGGAAACUAGAACGCAUAUUUUGUUGUUCUUUGAGAGCAGGCUUAGCCAUAAAACAAGAAUUUUGCAAUGCUCUUUCAUGCUGAGCGAAGGGAGUAUUUUAGAAAGAAUUUCUGCCUGGUGUAGUGACCCAUACUGCCUCAGUGAAUAUUUGGAGCCCCUUUUCUUAAAAAUAUAAGCCGAAUUCUUCACAGUUCAUCAACAUUAGGUGACUCUUUUCUUCUCAUUUCCCAACCGGUUUAGGACUUUUGUAGACAAGAGUUUAUUACUGGGCCACCCCAACACCUAUUUUCACUCAUUAGUAUCCCGGUGUUGAACCUUCUGAGGUCCAAGUUACUGCGAUAUCUCUAACUUCAGCUCAUUUACUUCUCAUUUUUCAGAAUUAUGCCAAGGAUUCCUAUCAUAUUGUCUUUUUUUUUUUUUUUUUUUUUUUUUUGGGACAGAGAGAGACAGAGCAUGAACGGGGGAGGGGCAGAGAGAGAGGGAGACACAGAAUCGGAAACAGGCUCCAGGCUCUGAGCCAUCAGCCCAGAGCCUGACGCGGGGCUCGAACUCACGGACUGCGAGAUCGUGACCUGGCUGAAGUCGGACGCUCAACCGACUGUGCCACCCAGGCGCCCCUCUAAAACAUUUUUUAUUAAACGUUUCCUGCUUUUAUUUUCCCAUGUCAAAGUAUAAGGGGCAUCUUCGCUGUCCUUAAAAUUUAUCUUGUGUUUUAUUGUGAGAACGAACCAUAACUAGUUUCUUUAAUUUCCUACCGAUGAUCAUUUAGAUCAUUUGUAAAUUAUGGCUUUUUCCUCCAUAGUAAACAAUUCUGCAAUCACUACCCUGGUAUAUAUGUCUUUGCUUUGAUUAAAUUUUUCAAAGCAGGAACAUUAAAUAUAAUGGAGAGGUAGUUGCUAUUGAUUUAAGCUUGUGCUAUACAAAUAAGGAAUAGGCAAUGUAUCAAAUGACAGAGGAAUCAGAGCAGUACAAAUCGUUUUAUCUUUAGACUUGCCCUUACAGGGAUUAGAUCAUAAGACAAUAGUCCAAUCAGAGAACUAAGAGAUAUCUCUGUGAUCAUCAAUCAAGAGAAUACAGGUAAUGAUUAUAAUGAUAACUUGUAUUAAAAGAUUAUGACAUCCCAGUCAGUGAAUUAAACCAUCUUACACAAUUCCUACAAAGUCCUUAUUAGGAAGAUGAUGUUAUUAUGCCCACUUUUUCAAUGAAGCAUUUAAGGUAGAUUAAUUUGACCUAGGUCACAUAGUGAAAUCUAUCUUCAGGGCAAGAAUUCGGUUUGCAUUAUGUAUAAUGGCACUCACAAGCCAAUUAAUUCUAUCAAAAUAGUCUGUGAGAAAGUCCCUUACUCAUAUAUAAGUACAGAAAGGCUGAAAUAUAAGUGAAGUGGGAGAAAAUCUAUAGAAUAACUGAAUCACUACUCAAUCUUUCUUUAAUUAUGCAUAUAUAAAUAUUAUCUAACGAUGGCUAUUUUUUACUAGCUCAGAUAUUAUUUUGGCCACUUAAACAAUUUUGCAAUGAACCAAUAGUGACUGAAGUCAUUUUUAAAAAGCAACGUGCAAAAAAAAUAGUAAGGAUAAAUAAAUAAAAAGCAAAGUGCAUAUAUUGUAAACUUCCACAACAACCACUUGGGUAUUAAGCCAAAACAUUUGAUUCACUGUUGUUGAUUUCCUUCUUUUCUCUUACCUCCCACAACCAUAGCGUCAAGUUUGAUUGAUUUUUCACUUCAAAAGGAUCACUUACAUCUGUCCCUUCUUUUCUGCUAUGAUUAAGAAUGCUGUCUUGAUGACAGAAGAUGAAGAAUGUUCUCCCACUCUGGAGUGGGACCCAUGGAAACCAGAUAAUUUGCACUGAGGUAGAAAUGAGGUAAAGGACGUGUUUCCUAAAUAAGGAACACGAAUAGUUGAAGUUGGUAGAGAGAGAUUUUAGGGAAGAUCAGAAAGAAGCUUCUCUGAGCAACUUCUCAGGUCCCUCCCCCUGGUUCCCAGGCAAAGAGUCAAAAAGUAAUAGGCAUAUGUGUGUAUGAAAUUAACAUGUUUCAAAUUCUCAAUACUUGUUACCAUUAACAUAUUUAUGCGGACUCUUUAUAACAAUACAUCUGAUUCAGGGCCCUUUGAAGAGAAUUUGUCCUGGAAUACAAAUAAAAAGUUGGCUCUCUGUCUCCACAUAUAUCUAUAUAUUUCUAUCUAUCUAUCUAUCUAUCUACGUAUCUAUCAUCUAUCUAUCUACUUAUCUAUCAUCUAGUUAUCUUUUGUUGGGCUUUUUGUUGUUCUAUUUGUUUGAUGCUGCUAUAGUGAUACAUAUGUUUCUACUUUGAGCUGCAAUGUUUUUGGAGCUAAGGAAUAGGGGGUAACAUCACAGAACUGGUAAGAGCAAAGUAAAUGAUCACACUUAUUCUUUGGCUCAUUUCCAUCAUUCAAGCAAGGAAAGCAAGCCCUUUAAAGGAAGAGAAGCAAAAACAUUAUGACUAGAGGAAACUUUCCAUGACUCUCUUCUUAUCGGCCAUGUUUUAUCUGUUGGCUGUUUAUAUUUCUACCCCUUGUGGCAUCAGCAAUCUGCAGCUUGGGGAAAUGAAUGUUUUUAAAAUGCUUUUGAGGCUCCUCAAACUUGAUUUUCCAUGUGGAAAUGUAGACAGAUUUAUCAAGGAAGGACAAAUGAAUACCAGUACCAAAGUAAUAAUAACAGUAACCUCCGAAUUGAUUGUUGGGAAUGACUCCUUAACUUUGGAUUUUCCUGUGGUCGGAGAUGUGAUCUUCUCCAGUGUGUGGACCUUCUCUGACUUGCGGUGGCUACAUCUGGCAUUCCAUUUUGUGUGCCAGCUAAAUUCUCUUCCAGGAGCUUAGGAAUGCUUGUUAGGAGAGUAUGCCUAGGAGUAGCAGAAAAGAAGAGAGACAAAGAAGAUAGAGGGGAAGGUGGAGGAGGAAGAAAAUCUGUGUCUCAAAUAUUCUCAUAACUUUUUUAUUGGGGAAAAAAAUAGUUUCAUUUGAAUUACUUUUCAAAUGAAAAUUUAUCAUUAAAAAACGGACUGUCUCCGGGCGCCUGGGUGGCUCAGUCGGUUAAGCCUCUGAUUUCAGCUCAGGUCAUGAUCUCAUGAUCCAUGAUUUCAAGCCCCAUAUCAGGCUCUGUGCUGACAGCUCGGAGCCUGGAGCCUGCUUCAGAUUCUGUGUGUUCUUCUCUCUCUGCCCCUCCCCCACUCAUGCUUUUUCCCUCCCCCCUUCUUUCUCAAAACUAAAUAAUUUUAAAAAAUGGACUGUCUCAAAUAUGUACAGACAAAGGAAAGGAACGUGAUUUGGUUUUAUUGUUUUUGGCUAAUUUAUCCCGGAAGCAAUUUUUUUUAAUGUUUUUAUUUAGUUUUGAAGGAGAGCGAGAGCAUGAGCAGGGAAGGAGCUGAGAGGGAGACAUAGAAAUUGAAGCAGGCUCCAGGCUCUAAGCUGUCAGCACAAAGCCUGAUGUGGGGCUCGAACUCACGAACUGUGAGAUCAUGACCUGAGCCGAAGUUGGACGCUUAACUGACUGAGCCACCCAGGCUCCCCACCUGGAAGCAAUUUUAAACAUGUGAUGAAUUCCAUUGAUUAUUUAAGAUAUUGUUUUCAUUAGGUAUACGAAAGUACCAUUUAAAUAUCCAGAGUGAGGGGCGCCUGGGUGGCGCAGACGGUUAAGCGUCCGACUUCAGCCAGGUCACGAUCUCGCGGCCCGUGAGUUCGAGCCCCGCGUCGGGCUCUGGGCUGAUGGCUCAGAGCCUGGAGCCUGUUUCCGGUUCUGUGUCUCCCUCUCUCUCUCUGCCCCUCCCCCGUUCAUGCUCUGUCUCUCUCUGUCCCAAAAAUAAAUAAACGUUGAAAAAAAAAAUUUUAUAAAAAAAUAAAAAAUAAAAAAAAAUAAAUAAAUAUCCAGAGUGAGUCUACAGAUCUCUUUUAUUCUGUUUUCCUGUUUUAGUAAGAUGAUACUCGUAAGGGUAUCUAGUACAAAUUUUUUCCUUGAUUUCUCUCCUUCAUUUCCCACAAAGGGUACUCAUUUCCAUUGUCUUUUAUUCUCUUCCUACUGACAUUAAACUUGACUGGAGUUCUGGCAGAAGCAUGCCCAAGGUUAGGAGAUGCUUAGACAAUCCUGCAGCAGCCGCUCUGGGGCAUCCCAGGCAAUCUGUCAUGAGAUAACAAGUCAUUCAACUAGGAACCUAGGGACUUAAUGAGUCUGUCACUAGGAGAGUGUGCUACAAAGUAUAGGGCAUUCCACUUCCACAAAAACCAUAACUUGAUUUAUGGCAAUAAAAUCAAGUACAUGGUAAUCUUUAGAUUGUGUCUCUUCCCUAUAAUGCCUAUUAGGUACCUGUUACCAGCCCAAAUUAGAAUAAAAAGGCUGUAAUUCUGUGUCAUCAUUCUUAGCUGUCUUGUAUAUUAAAAAUGAAGACAGAGCUCAAAAAAAAAAAGCUGUGCCCCCAGGUCUGUUCAUAGUCUUUAAUUGGAGACACUCUUCUGUUUGUGCCCCCCUAAAACCAGGAGGCAUCUUCAGUCUCGGUCAUAUGGCUGAAAGAAUUAAAAAAGAAGAGGCCAACAGAAAUUAAGGAAGAGAAUAAGGUUAUGGGCAAAGCACAGAAGAACACAGAAGGGUAGUUUCUGAUAAUCCCUUAAUUUUGUCUUCAGUUGAAAUGAAGAGAUUUUACUGAAAGAUCUUUUUAACUCAUGUUGUACUCUUAAGAGUUCUGAACCUUUCACCUUCAUUGACUUUGAAAAAGACCCAUUCAUUAAUUUGGGACAUAGUAAGGAGCAGAAUUCUCUAACAAUAUAGGCAUAUGUAUGUACCUAUUGAGUGGCCCAAACCUGGAAUACUGACAAUGCCAAAUGCUGGCAAGGAAAACGAGGAAGUUUAAAUGAGCUCCUUUUAAGCAGAAUAUAUGUGUGUGUGUGUGUGUGCUGAACUUCCUCUUGUUUUCUCCACUGGGCCUUGCUUUACAGACAAGGCAGGCAAAUGUCACCAUGAAUAUAAUGGAAUCAAUCCACUGGACCUAUCUGUCAGGGACAGCUGCUCAUGUCUGAGUUCCAGGCAAGGACCAUACUUAGGAAAGGUCUGUUAUUUUAGAAAACCGCCUAGUGAAACUUGUUUCUGAGGGCAGUGUUUUUGCACUGAAAAAUGAAACUAUAAAUUAAGUUUAGAGUGAGUCAAAGACAUAUGCUUGACCCCAGGCAUAUAUAGUUUGUCAUCUAACACACGUGAACUAUGAAUUUUGGUAUACUUAAAAGCGGUAUAAUUUGAAAUUUUACUUUGUUCCUCAAAUGUUACAGAAUUGGGAGAUUAGUGAUCUUGACCAUGUGGCAACUUGUCAGCUGUGCUUGUAGGGUGGUCAGCAUGUAAAGGUGACAUGGCUGGAAUAAUGCAGGCUAUUAUGAAAGGUGGGCAUUGAUUCAAUGGCCACAUCCUGGUUCUCACCCAUUUCCCCAUAGGUCCUGUGAUUAAGUCAGAGUCCACAACAUCAUGGCCAUUAGCAGAGGAUUCUCUGACUGAUUAUUGCUGCCUUUUCAACUUUAAUAGAUUUUUUUUUUACCAUCAAUACCACAGACAUUAUGGGAUCUGCUUGGGGGUAGGAAUGCCUACGUGUUACUAAAUUGGUGGACGACCCUUACAGAGAUGAGUGAGGAAAGAAAAAAACCUCUGGAGUUUGAAAGUGGUUGACAUUUGACCCAAUUGCCUUCGAAGAAUGGCAAAUUUUCCCUUAGGAGAGAGUUUCACUUUUAUUUAGGAUAUCACCUUUUCGAGUCUGAAAAGGUCGUGCCUUAGGGCACUGUGCAGAGAAGGGAAAAAGAGAAACAGAAAAAGAAACAGCUUGCUCAGCAAAAGCAAGAAAUAAUAGUUUUCAGGCUUUGGCUGGUAGGCCAGAGGACUGCAGGAAUCAGGAAUCCAAAAGAGGAGGCCUGGACGAAGGGUCUGUAAACAGUAAUUUUUAACCUGGCUGCACACUAGAAUUAACAAGGGGAACUUUUAGAAAAUACCCAUUUCUCAUUUCCACUCCCCAAAGAUUCUAAUUCCUUGGUGGGGAGGAGGGGGGGUGCUGAGCAACAACGGUUUCAUAAAGUCUCUCCAGAAAUUCUAAUUCUCAGCCGGGGAAAGAAUCUGUGGGAAGAAGGUGACCACGUCCUGGAAUGGAAUUUAUGGCAGAAGAUAAGACAGUAAGAACCCCAAAGAGUGGCCAGAGCAAAAAAGCUUGGAAAUGAGAGCUGGGGGCACCUGGGUGGCUCAGUCGGUUAAGUGUUCGGCUCUUGAUUUCAGCUCAGGUCAUGAUCUUGCAGUUCGGGAGUUCGAGUCCCACAUGGGGAUCCGUGGUGGCAACAUAAAGCCUGCUUGGGAUUCUCCCUCUCCCUCUUUCUUUGCCUCUCCCUCACUCAUGUUCUGUCUCUCUCAAAAAAACAAAAAACAAAAAACAAACAUUAAAAAAAUGAAAAGAAGAACUGGAUAAUAUUUAAUCUUAAAAUUAUUUGUUCUCCUAGGUGUUCUAUGCUGCCCCUGUGCUAAUACUCUAUCUUUGGUGAAAUGUACAUGCACAAUCUUGUACUGAUGAGGUUUUAGGGAAUGGGAAUGAGAGUCCAGUUCUGGUCAGAACCGGUACCAAAAAAGAGAAGCAACUCUGAGAGCUGAAACAAGAGUUCUGCAGAGAUCAAUCACAGAACAAGAGCUAAUUAGAAGACGGGAUGGUGUAGGAUACACUUCAGAAAUCUCUGGGAUUCGGGGUUUCCCACCAUAUGUGGCAUGGAAUCUUAGGACUCAUUAUUUAGAAAUAUUAUCCCAAACAGAGGGACGAGGUAGAGUUAACCUUUUAAUAGUAUCAAGAGUCAAUUUGAGUUUAAUAAGUGUUUAAUGUGCUCGUUAGAUGUUAGCAACCAUUUUGACUAGUCCUUGUUUGAAGCAUCUUGACUAAUCCUUGUUGGAAUCCAGAUCUCAUCCCUUUUAAUAGGUGUGCGACUUAGAAAUUUACUUAUUUUUUCUUGAGUAACAUGGGGAUAAGUGGUGCAGUUUUGAAGUGUAGGCAUGUCUGCGGGGCAAGCAUGUUUCGGAAAUUAAAAUUUAGGCCAUCACUUUUCCUUUUAGAAAUUUAUCUUGAGGGAAUAAGCAUACAGGUAUGCACAGGUAUUUGGAUGAUAUUUUUUAUGGCAACAAAUAAGAAAUAUUUUAAAUAUUCAACAAUAGGAAAUACGUUAAAUUAAAUGUAGGGCAACCAUAUAAUGAAAUGCUCUGUAUUUAUUAUGAAUGACUACACAUGUUUAUAUUUACUGACAAAAUGUCCGUAUUGUUUUCCAUAUUACAGUUAUGUGAAAAAAGUGUGUGAAAUAGUCCAGUUCUCUGUGUGUGUGUGUGUGUGUGUGUGCACAUGUCUGUAUGUAUGGGCAAGUUCCUAGAACAAUGUCUGGACGGAUACAUACAGACAUGGAAGUCUAAUCAUUUUGUCAGUUUUAUAUCAUCUUUCUUUUUAAAAUGUAAUAGGCUGUUUAAGGCAGCAGAACAACAAUCUUGCAACAAAACCAUUCACACACACUUGUAACACAAAGAUAGACAGUGUGUUUUUUGAGAAGGUGUGAUUGUUGGGGCGCCUGGGUGGCUCAGUCGGUUAAGCAUCCAACUUCGGCUCAAGUCAUGAUCUCACGGUUCAUGAGUUCGAGCCCCACGUCGGGCUCUGUGCUGACCACUCAGAGCCUGAAGCCUGUUUCGGAUUCUGUGUCUCCCUCUCUCUCUGACCCUCCCCGUUCAUGCUCUGUCUCUCUCUGUCUCAAAAAUAAAUAAACGUUUAAAAAAAUUAAAAAAAAAGAAAAUGUUUGCAGUGUCUAAAACUGACAACAGUUAUUGCAUAUAUAUUAUCUUUUGUUUCAUAAAUAAACUAUUAAAAAUCCUAAUUCGGGGUGCCUGGGUGGCUCAGUCGGUUAAGCAUCUGACUUCAGCUCAGGUCAUGAUCUCGCGGUCCGUGAAUUCAAGCCCUGCGUCGGGCUCUGUGCUGACAGCUCAGAGCCUGGAGUCUGUUUCGGAUUCUGUGUCUCCGUCUCUCUCUGGCCCUCCCCCCAUUCAUGCUCUGUCUCUCUCUGUCUCAAAAAUAAAUAAAUGUUAAAAAAAUUUUAAAAAAACUGAGAACAAACUGAGGGUUGAUGGGAGGUGGGAGGGAGUGGAGGGUGGGUGAUGGGUAUUGAGGAGGGCACCUGUUGGGAUGAGCACUGGGUGUUGUAUAGAAACCAAUUAGACAAUAAAUUUCAUGUAAAAAAAACAUAGAAGCAAUAAUGUUGACUUAGCUUAUGGGGUUUAAGGGUGUGCUAACAAACUAUAUUUCACCUAUAAAGUUUAAAUAAGUAGAUACUACUUAAGUAGUUCAAAUAGUGUUUGUUUGCAUUUCUUUUUGUCUGGAAAAAUCAUGUAAGAAUUUUAUUUUCACUGUACUGAAAGAGAGAUGGUAAAAUACCUUCCAAAACAUCCUAACAUUAUCCCAUAAAUAAUAUAUUGUCAUGUUGUAUCCCAAUGAUAGAAUUUUCCAGAGGCAUUAUAAGAGUUGCUGUCAUGAUCACAAUGCUCUCAGGCACUCAAUAAUUCACGAUCGCAGGUGCUGCAUACCCUGUAUGUGAGACCUGUGUGCUCUUUUUGGGACUGAGCUCCACAUGUACUCACUGAAGAACCAGCUUAAUAAGAGCAAACAAAGCCUCUCUGUGCUUGUCACGUGGUUCCCACAUACUCUGCAAAUGCAAGGGGGAGAGAGUUGGGAGACACGGUGUCUCUCUUAACUGCAUGCACGGUUAAGACUGAAGAGGCAUGAAACUCAGAGAAGGGAGCUCGCUGUUCCCCCAUCUUCAAGGGGUUCCCUUCCGAGGCCUGGAUCCCAAACGGAGGCUUUGCAAACACUGGCCACUUUUUUUUCAGAACAGCCUCUCUGGGCAGGAGGCCCACUGCCUGAUUAAUCCUGCAUUCCUCAAAACAGCAGGCAACCAGAAAAACAUUCCCUGUGGAAUUUGAGCUCACCUGCCCUCUGGGGGGUCAGAGAGCAGGUAGACUGAGGGCUGUGUAUGGGAGCAUUUGUCCUAAAGUGGAUGACACCCCGAUGUUGCCUUCUAGAAGUUAUCUUGCUUUGAAGUAAACAGUGAAAGCUGCCUAAGGUAAUUUAAAAGAUACCAGUUAAGGAUCUUCAGGUCUGCCUGCAAAUAAUUAUCACAUGAGAAUCUUUUUAAAAACACAGACUUUUAAAACUGCUGAUUUUCAUGGCCUUUGUAAAGCCUUCUUGAGUCAGAAUCCCCUGGGGUGGGGCCCAGAAAUAAUUACUUUAAUAAAAAAGUUCCACUGAUUCUGAUGUACAGUCAGGUUUGGAAAUCAUUUCUUAAGUCUGAGCUAAAUAAACAAAAAAUCAGUAGAAGAUUAACAAACCAAAGGGCAUAGAGGAAACUAAGAGGGGGCGUGAGGAAGAGAAUAGGAAAAAAAAAAUCACCGCUAAAAAAAUAGUGAUGGGAAAGAGUGAGAAACAUCAACAUUUGACAGAAGGUAGUAUUAAACACGGCAGCAAGCCGAGCCAACAGUGGUUUGCGCCGGUCUAGAAGGACGGACAUGGAGAACGAUGUCUCCUCAUCUGUAAGGACUGCAAUUACCCUUGCAUUCAUCAUUUGUACACUAAAGUCAAUAAAUUGUAAUAAGGCUUUGUCACCCAACAAAUGUCUCCUGCUUGGAAAAUCAGUGCUUCUGCCCUGCGCCCCCACUUAUGCUCCAGCAGGAGAGCUGAAGGUGAUCUUGAAACAAUGCUCUAUUCUCCUGAUAUUAUCAUUUAAUUGUAGCUCCCUCACACCCAACCUUCUGAGUUUUUAAUGAAAUAUUUCCUAAAAAUACAUGCCUUUAAUAGUAACAUGUGAAAUGGAAAAGGAGAAAUGUUUCAAAUCCAGAUGAGUAAACACACCAUCGUAGGUCAUGGGACCCCCCCCCAACCUCCCCACCAUGGGGGCUUGGGGGAAGUCAUCAUGUUGAUUCCUAUUGAACCAAAUCUAGUCAACACUUCAGUCUGAAAAUGGUGAGAAAUGGGAAAAAAAAUGGGUUUUUAAGAUAGAAAACAAAAACCAGAAGUGCUCUCAUGUUAAACAUCAAAAUGAGAAACAAUAUAAAUGAAGCUAAAAUUACUUUUAUAAAGAUGAUCAGGCAAUUCACAUAUAAGAAAUAAAAUGGACUAAUUCAACUUUCGAACAUCCAUUUGUGUUGAAAGUUUUGCUUUCUUUCACAUCAAAACUCUAUCUUUGGCUCUAGUGUUGUCCUUGCAAAGAAAUCUGUAUUCAUUUCUUCCUUAAAAUCAAGACCAUCCACCUUUGAGUUUCAUUCAUGGUCUCUAGGACAAGAUAAUAAUGUAGACUAUCCUCGUUAGUAAAACAGGCAAAAUAAUAAUAUCUCCUAUGUGAGAACUGAGUGAAGUAAUGUGUAAAGCAUUUGGAAAAAUAUCUGGCUUUUUGUAAACACUAUGCAAGUGUUUAUAUAUUAUGAAAGUAAGAUUCUUCUAUGGCUUUUUAAGCUCCAUGAACAAUUUUUCCCUCCAUGUUUCCAUAUUUCUUCCGUUGAUUGCCUUCUAGCAAUGCAUCUUAGGUGGCAUAAUAGCUUAUAUAGUAAUAGUUGGCCCAGUGGUGUGUCCGGGGUUGUUCCAGAGAUCAGCAGUCUCUUAUUCCUAAAGUCCCCUGGUGCAUUUAUGACAAAAAGUAUUAAGUAGAAAUCUCGUCAACCUUCAGAACAUUAAAGAUAACAAUGGAAAGUCAAAGGGGAAAAUGAGUUGAGAGGGACCCAAAGGAAACGUGUCCCUACUGAAAGAAUGGCUCCCCUCAGACAAGGUGGAAAGCAUCACAGAAGGGGGAGAAGGUGAGGGGCUUCUCAUUCACAUCAGCCAAAUCAACCCCAUUGCAGGAGAGGGACAGAUACUGCCACGAAACUGCUCUCUGAGCUGUGGGACUCUUUUUAGGCUUCCUCCAUCCUUUAUAUGUGUUUUUGUCUCCUUUACUGUUCUCUACAGACUUCCCUUAAUAUCACCCGUUUGGUAAUAUUACUUUACUAUCUAUAGCACCUGUAGAUUUCUAUUAAAAAAAUUUUUUUUUUACAUUUAUUUAUUUUUGAGAGACAGAGAGAGACAGAGCACAAGGGGGGGGGGAGGGGCAGAGAGAGAAGGAGACACAGCAUCAGAAGCAGGCUCCAGGCUCUGAGAUGUCAGCACAGGGCCCCACGCGGGGCUUGAACUCAACGAACAGUGAUAUCAUGACCUGAGCCAAAGUGGGGCGCUCAACCGACUGAGCCACCCAGGCAUCCCUGAUUUCUUUUUUUUUUUUUUAAUGUUUAUUUAUUUGAGAGAGAGAGAGCAGGGGAGGGGAAUAGAGAGAGGGAGACACAGGCUCCAAAGCAGGCUCCAGGCUCCAGAGCAGUCAGCACAGAGACCCACUUGGGGCUCAAACUCACGAAUCAUGAGAUCGUGACCCGAGAUGCUUAACCAACAGAGACACCCAGAUUUCCCGAUUUCUCUCUUAAACUGUUGCUAUAUGGUCUGACCCCUGGCCUCUGUCCUGUCAUAAUUAAUUGACCUUACUGUUUUGUGGCACCAGAAACACUGGAUGCAGUAUGUUUAGUGAAACUGUGGUCAGAACAUUGAUAAUUAUGUGCCUCCAAUAUAAUGAACACCACGCCUCCUGAUGACACCAGUUGUUUCCAAGUGAUGUGUGCCUUGAUUUUUAAUGUUUUAUCUUUAAAAAAACUUAAUUAUUGGGGCUCGUGGAUGGCUCAGUCAGUUGAGCGUCCGACUUCGGCUCAGGUCACGAUCUCGCGGUUCGUGGGUUCAAGCCCGCAUGGGGCUCUGUGCGGACAUCUCAAAGCCUGGAGCCUGCUUCAGAUUCUGUGCCUCCCUCUCUGUCCCAACCCACUCGCAUUCUGUCUCUGUCUCUCUCAAAAAUAAAUAAACAUUAAAAUUUUUUUUAAUAAAAAAAUUUAAAAAACUAAGUAUUAUUGCCCCCAAAUAAGCUUAAAAAACAAAAGUUUUUGAAAUAGAAUAUUAAAUAUUAGGAUUGGAAAAAAACCUUAAAGAUUAUCUAGUCCAACUGCCAUUUGAUUUUUAAAAUCUUAUCUAUAAUUUCCACAUAAUACGUGAAUUUAAUUAAUCCAGGGUUUCAAUUCCUCCAAUCAUGGGGGACUUAGAACUUACUGAAACAGUUCGUUCUGACUAUUAAAAGUUACAUUAGAAAUGUCUUUCUAAUUCAGAGCUGGAAUGUCUCCUGGUAUUUCUAAAUUACAAAGACACUGGGUAUGUAUGUACAGGUUGUGCACUAUACAAGGGUGCUGCUUGAUAGGACAUUGUUCUGAUCCAACUGUUGUGGGUUUGUCUCUUUACUAAAGUAAUUUGGCCAAUGUAACAAUAUAAAUUAAGAAAGAAAUGCCAUUUAAAAAUUAUUGCAAGGAUACAAUUUGAGCUAACAGCAGUCCUGCUUUAUCAUUUGUAGUCAAAUUGAUAAAAGCCCAUCCCUCCUCUCAUGGUGACCCUUCGCAUAUUUUAUUUUGAUUAGUAGAGUUCCAAGAGCCUGUGGACUCUGUCUCUGAGAGGGACUCAGGUUUUCCGUGUCUAAAGCUCAAGCUACUCGCCGGCCAAUAUAAAAAUAAAGGUAACAAUUGUCAAAGCAUCUACCUACUUAGGACAACAGUGUAAUAUUUUCUUUUCUCCAUCCUUACUGUGAAGUUGCACUGGGAUUGUAAUAUGUCACAAUAUUUUUGAAGAAUUGGAUUAUCAAUAAUACAUUUUAAAUAUAGUAACCUCUUACGAAAUUUCUAAUAUUAUCCAGGUAAAACAUAAAAGCACUUCUUAGAACAUUCCCAUGUUGUCACCUACAGUAUCAUGGAGGUUUCCGUUGUCUGUUAAGAAGAAAUUCAAAAUAGUGCCUUCUGAAAGAUGCUCUUAUCCAAUGUGUGCAUAUCAGUAACAAUUUAAUGUUUAGAUAAACUUAGAUAAACUCAUAUUGUUAAAAAAAGCUGUUAUGAUAUUAAAAUAGAACCUCUCUAUAUCUUGCUUGUGAAUCUCACCCAUCUGGCUUUAAAGACACAAUGAAUAUAGUUGAUCAAUAAAAUUUUAUCUAACAUUUAUAGCAUAAGGGAAGGAGGAUGGGUUAGAAAGUAUGGUCACUAACAAAUAUUUUACUGCACUGUGCCCACCUGUCUUUGGCUAAACCAUUUCCAAGUCUUAUAUUUUCUCUCUAGUAAUCUGUGUCUGACUUUUUUUUUUUUCUAGAAGAGGGCUUACAACUUGUAAAAUCUUUAUGUGUUUAUUAAACAAGAAAAAAUGAUGCAAUUUUUAUUGCAAGAGUUAACUUAGUUCCACAGCAUUGUGAACAUAGCACAUAACUAAAAGUGCAAGUUCACCUCCUUGCCAGGUCAUCCAUCCAAUUUGCCAGAGCCAGUCACAUUGUUUUGUUGAUCUUUUUUUUUUUUUUACAUUUAUUUAUUUAUUUAUUUAUUUAUUUAUUUUUGAGAGACAGAGAGAGACAGCACAAGCGGGGGAGGGACAGAGAAAGGGGGAGACACAGAAUCCGAAGCAGGCUCCAGGCUCUGAGCUGUCAGCACAGAGCCCGACACGGGCUCGAACUCGCAAACUGGGAGAUCAUGACCUGAACCGAAGUCAGACGCUCAACCGACUGAGCCACCCAGGUGUCCCCGUUUAUCUUUAAGUCAUUUUUUUGUACCUAUGUAAGAUCUAUAUUUAAGACUCACUAACAUUUAAAAAAAUUGAAUUCAUUCAGUCAUUCAACAAAAAUAGAAUCUACUCUUUCUAGGCAGUGUUUAUUCUUAUACUUGGGAAUAGACGGAUACUAAAGCAGAGAAGAAAAUAUCAGAUAGUUAUAUAAGGCCAAUAAAGUAAAUAAAAGAGGGCAGUGUGAUGCUGAUGGAUGGGAUGGUAUUUCCUCAGACUGGUGUGUAGGGAAGGCCUCUCUGACCAGCGGCAUGGGGACAGAGUAUUCCAGGACAAUGAAAUAGCCCAUUCAAAUGAGCUUAGGCAAACACACAUUUAGCAAUGACAAGGAACAAAAUCAAGGCCUCGAGUGGACGCAUCAGAGUGAUGAAAGAGAAAAUGGAAGGAAAAAUAAUGUCAGAGAAGUAGUAUCAACAGGGACUUCUAGGUAGGGUGGGGAUCCUGGAUUCUAUUUUUAAGUGUGAUGUGAAGGCAUUGGAGGGUGUUAAGAAGGGAGAUCACAUGAUCUUAUUUUCACAAUUUUUAUUGAAGUGUAACUGACAUACACUGUCCUAUUAGUUUCAGGUGUACAUCAUAGUGAUUUGAUGUUUUUAUACGCUACGAAAUGAUCCCCCAGUAAGUCGAGUUACCAUCAGUCACCAAAGUUAUUACAAUAUUAUUGAAUAUUGAAUAUUGAAUAUUGAAAUGUAUUCCUUGAGCUGUUAUGUUGCAUCUGCAUGACUUACUGGUUUUAUAACUGGAAGUUUAAAAUGAUCACUCUGGCCACGAUGUGGAGAGUGGAUUGUAGAUGGAAGUAGAAGUCCAUUGGGAUUUACCGUGGUAGCAAAAUGGCGGUGGUGCUUGGACUGUGAACAGCGGAUAGGUAAGAGUACAGGAAGGGAGAUGUGACAUGAGGGGGAGAUGGGCUUCUGGACAGUUGUUCAGAUAGAAUCAGACAGAACUGGUAUAUGUUUUAUGGUAAGAGCACUGGGGUAUGGGUGAGAUGAGGGAAAGAGUAGAAUAUUUUAAGGAUAAAUCUUAGGAUGGUGGCUUGGGCAAAUAAGAAAUGGUGCAUUUUAUUGAGAUCAAAGAUUAGGAAAGAGGCACAUUUAGCCAUGUUAAAUUGAAGCCGCCUCUUAGAAACGCAAGUGAAAAUUCAAGUUUGUGGUUGGAUAUAACAACUGGAGGUUAGGGAAAUUCAGAGAGUAUGGGUUAGAGGCAUAACUUAGUCAACACCAUUAUCUGUACUUAAAACCAAGGGUGUGGCUAAGGAAUCCUACCAUAUAUUUUAGUUUUAUUUCAGUCUCUUAAUUUUUGCUUUAUAUUUUGUAAUUUCUUUCCUCUUCAUCUCUUCUUAUUUGCUGGUUUUGGGGGAAGUUGAAUCAAGAAUUUAUUCUUGACGUUUCUGUCGUUUUGACAUAUUUUCAUCUAUAAAUAAGGCAUAUAUGUGGUAAAAGAAGUGUGUUUCUAGAAGUACAAAUGUACGUAGAGGGAAAGGCAAGCCCCUUUGCCUAACUCUUCCCGCUUGACCCUCACUUCCUCUCAGGAGAAGCAAUACAGUCUCCAGCUGUUUUACACAAAUGGGAGUUGAUUAAAAAUAUUCUAUUAUACCUUGUUUAUUCACUGGAAAGUAGCUGUUGACAAAAUUUCUGCUUGGUGUUCUACUAUAUGGUGUAUCAUGAUUUACUUAACUGCUCUACUGAAGAGCAUUUAGGUUCCUUUUUAUUCUUUUGCUCUUCUCCCUUAUUUCCUGCAUGUUACUCAUUUUUCUGCUUCUUUACUGUCUGUUUACCUCUAGCUACUACUCCAUUUUUGGGUUCCAUUAUAUAGCAAAUUCCUUAGGUGUGUUAAUCACGAUCACUAAAAUCCUUUUCAUUUUCUCUGUCUUAUUACAGGCAACAUCUUCGUUGUUCAUUUCUGGAACGAUGGCAUCGCUACCUUGAAUUCUUUCCUGAUCUCUGCCUCUUCAGUUGCCUUUCGCUUGCUGUGUUCCUUUUCUCCGGUUUGCUUUACGUCAAUGCUGACAACUCCCUUUUAUAAUCCUUCGUGAACUUUCUCUGUGUGUGACCGGCGG
This 24091-nucleotide long non-coding RNA is filed under the name Lynx pardinus (Iberian lynx). Lineage: Eukaryota; Metazoa; Chordata; Mammalia; Carnivora; Felidae. The record is from RNAcentral.